RNAcentral lists this ribosomal RNA (972 nucleotides) under Triticum aestivum (bread wheat). RNAcentral describes it as "partial small subunit ribosomal RNA". The record is from RNAcentral. Lineage: Eukaryota; Viridiplantae; Streptophyta; Magnoliopsida; Poales; Poaceae.
ACACAUUACGUCGAUUACGGUACGCACACGAUAAGAUGGACCCGUUACGAUAAACAACCUGGUUUACGGAUUAACAGUUGCCAUAAGACCCGUUCCUCUUGUUCCGUUCUGCGUAACCUGUAGAGUUAGAGUAAAAGUAAAAACUUCAUCUGAUGGAAAACCUGUCCUUUAAAUUCUCUUACGGUUCUUUUGGCUUCCGAUCGUUCUGAAAGUCCUCUAAUUUUACGUUUCUUAGCCAAUUGUUCCCCUCACUCGGAUCGAGUUGACCAACCCCCUCACCUACAUGUUUGGGUUGUGGACCAAAACUUAGGAGUGCCUCCGCUUAAAUCCAAGGAUAAAUAAGAACUCCUGGUCCGAAAGGACCAUGAGUGCGUGAAUAACUCCUGACCCGAGCCACGCAUUAGCUCUAAUUUUUAGGAUCAUGAGUAUGAAUUUUCCGGCAUACGUAGGGAUCAACCACGUCUCCGGCCCCUUUACUUUAAGAGGGGGUUAUUUUUCACCGGCGUACGUAGCGGGUCUAUGUCUCCGGCCCCCAGUAGGAGGAAAAGAUUAAAAAAACAUGUCCAUCCAUAUAUUAUCCUACGUCCCAGAUGGUGAAGUCUUAUUCCACCAUAAUUUUCGAUUUCGUGUAAACGUUGAUUAAACUAAUUCACUUUACAUCCUUCUUCACUCAAUCUCAUAUAUUGACUUCUAACAGUAGUGUUGUUAACAUCUACGUCUUUGUACUCCCUGACCCACAUACUUAUUCGAAAAAAACUGGGAGUCAUGAUUCGGGUUUAAAACAGAACACUUGCCAUUAUGUUGAGAAAAUGUAGGAAGAGAACUCUUAAAAACUGUCAGUGUUCAACACUGAAUCCGACGACAGUGCUACAACCUACUUGUGUGUUAUACCACUAUUCACAACCCAUACACUGAUUUAAAUCGAUACCUUAAAUAAUACAAUCGUUGAGAUGGAACCUAGACUUGAUUGUC